RNAcentral lists this ribosomal RNA (492 nucleotides) under uncultured bacterium. Its description in RNAcentral is "partial 16S ribosomal RNA". It matches the Rfam family "Bacterial small subunit ribosomal RNA", at positions 29 to 507 of the family's 1533-position model. The record is from RNAcentral.
AGUGAACGCUGGCGGUAGGCCUAACACAUGCAAGUCGAACGGCAGCACAGUAAGGGCUUGCUCUUACGGGUGGCGAGUGGCGGACGGGUGAGGAGUACAUCGGAAUCUACUUUUUCGUGGGGGAUAACGUAGGGAAACUUACGCUAAUACCGCAUACGACCUACGGGUGAAAGCAGGGGAUCUUCGGACCUUGCGCGAUUGAAUGAGCCGAUGUCGGAUUAGCUAGUUGGCGGGGUAAAGGCCCACCAAGGCGACGAUCCGUAGCUGGUCUGAGAGGAUGAUCAGCCACACUGGAACUGAGACACGGUCCAGACUCCUACGGGAGGCAGCAGUCGGGAAUAUUGGACAAUGGGCGCAAGCCUGAUCCAGCCAUACCGCGUGGGUGAAGAAGGCCUUCGGGUUGUAAAGCCCUUUUGUUGGGAAAGAAAAGCAGCAGGUUAAUACCCCGCUGUUCUGACGGUACCCAAAGAAUAAGCACCGGCUAACUUCGUG